This is a long non-coding RNA of Cataglyphis hispanica, 600 nucleotides long. RefSeq lists it as uncharacterized. The record is from RefSeq and is a predicted model, not a curated record. The transcript is spliced from 2 exons. NCBI's taxonomy places the organism in Eukaryota, Metazoa, Arthropoda, Insecta, Hymenoptera, Formicidae.
UAUAGGCAGAAGCUGUUCCUUGUAUAUAUUUUAUGAAGGCAGAAUUCUCUACUGUUGAAAAUGCCAGUAAAAGUAACGAUGACAAUAUCUGUUCCACCGGUAUCAUGAGCAAUGAUCCAAGAAAUGAUAACAUUAAUGUGAAUUAUUUGCAGUCCACAACAGUAACAGAGAAUGAAUAUUAUUUUUGUUCGCAUAUAUAUUUUAAAUGUUUUGGUUUGCGCACACCAGCAGCAAAUCGAAACAAAUACCAAGAUGUUAGCUUUUCAAUAAUCAAAUAAGAUGUUUAACCAAAGUAUAAAUUUGAAAGAUGCCAAAAUAUUAUUUUAUAUAUCCUGCUUGAUAUCUAAAUACAAUCAAAAGUUAUAUUUUCGAUAUGGAUAGCGAUCCUGUUCAUUGUACUAAAAUAGGCAAAUUUAAAAAAAUUCCUUCGAAUAAUUGCCUUAUUCCCUUGAUACAGGAAGGUGCUCAUUGCAACAGCAAGAAGAGAUGCUUAAAUUCCGAUUCUAUUGAAUUAAUUUCUAAUGAUUCAACGCCCAUUCAAGCAUUACUUCAUUGAAAUAAGAAUUUGUGCCUUAUAUGAAAUAAAUUUUUUAUACAUAA